GGGUGACAGGUGGUGCAUGGUUGUCGUCAGCUCGUGUCGUGAGAUGUUGGUUAAGUCCCGCAACGAGCGCAACCCUCGACCUUAGUUGCCAGCAUUCAGUUGGGCACUCUAAGGUGACUGCCGGCUAAAAGUCGGAGGAAGGUGGGAUGACGUCAAAUCAUCAUGCCCCUUAUGACCUGGGCUACACACGUGCUACAAUGGGCGGUACAAAGGGUCGCGAGCCCGCGAGGGGAGCCAAUCCCAAAAAGCCGCUCUCAGUUCGGAUUGCAGGCUGCAACUUGCCUGCAUGAAGCCGGAAUCGCUAGUAAUCGCGGAUCAGCAUGCCGCGGUGAAUACGUUCCCGGGCCUU
RNAcentral lists this ribosomal RNA (349 nucleotides) under uncultured Anoxybacillus sp. RNAcentral's name for it is "bacterial SSU rRNA". It matches the Rfam family "Bacterial small subunit ribosomal RNA", at positions 1029 to 1382 of the family's 1533-position model. Lineage: Bacteria; Bacillati; Bacillota; Bacilli; Caryophanales; Anoxybacillaceae. The record is from RNAcentral.